AACGCAUAUUGCGCCCCCUGGUAUUCCGGGGGGCAUGCCUGUUCGAGCGUCAUUAUCACCCCUCAAGCCCGGCUUGUUGUUGGACGUCGGCGGGGCCUCCGGGCCUCGCCCGUCUCAAAGAUAAUGACGGCGUCUGUGAGGACUCCUGUACACUGAGCUUUCGGGCACGUACUAGGCUAGAACUCCAGGCCCGGUCUCCCGGUGUGUCGGCUCGCCGACUCACCACUCUUUUUCACAAGGUUGACCUCGGAUCAGGUAGGAAUACCCGCUGAACUUAA
Molecule: unclassified non-coding RNA, 278 nt
Filed under: uncultured fungus
Lineage: Eukaryota; Fungi
Description: partial contains 5.8S ribosomal RNA, internal transcribed spacer 2, and large subunit ribosomal RNA
Rfam family: 5.8S ribosomal RNA (bases 1-52)
Source: RNAcentral